AGGAUGUUAGUAAAAUAUUACAAAACCUUGUCGUGGUUUAAUUAUAAGUUAAAAAUCUUAUACAUCCUU
RNAcentral lists this transfer RNA (69 nucleotides) under Pseudohynobius flavomaculatus (yellow-spotted salamander). Its description in RNAcentral is "tRNA-Asp". Lineage: Eukaryota; Metazoa; Chordata; Amphibia; Caudata; Hynobiidae. The record is from RNAcentral.